Ribosomal RNA from Cercocebus atys (sooty mangabey), 102 nucleotides. Lineage: Eukaryota; Metazoa; Chordata; Mammalia; Primates; Cercopithecidae. The record is from Ensembl.
GUCUACGGCCAUACCACCCUGAUCCCGGAAGCUACUGCACAGGCUCGGCCCUGGCCAGUACUCACAUAAGAGACUGCCUGGGAAUACCGGCUGCUGUAGGCU